UACGGAAGGCAGCAGUGGGGAAUAUUGCACAAUGGGCGCAAGCCUGAUGCAGCGACGCCGCGUGGGGGAUGACGGCCUUCGGGUUGUAAACUCCUUUUCGCUAGGGACGAAGCGCAAGUGACGGUACCUGGAGAAGAAGCACCGGCUAACUACGUGCCAGCAGCCGCGGUAAUACGUAGGGUGCGAGCGUUGUCCGGAAUUACUGGGCGUAAAGAGCUCGUAGGUGGUCUGUCGCGUCGUUUUGUGUAAGCCCGCAGCUUAACUGCGGGACUGCAGGCGAUACGGGCAUAACUUGAGUGCUGUAGGGGAGACUGGAAUUCCUGGUGUAGCGGUGGAAUGCGCAGAUAUCAGGAGGAACACCGAUGGCGAAGGCAGGUCUCUGGGCAGUACUGACGCUGAGGAGCGAAAGCAUGGGUAGCGAACAGGGAUUAGAUACC
This 437-nucleotide ribosomal RNA is filed under the name uncultured bacterium. RNAcentral describes it as "bacterial SSU rRNA". It matches the Rfam family "Bacterial small subunit ribosomal RNA", at positions 340 to 786 of the family's 1533-position model. The record is from RNAcentral.